This 884-nucleotide ribosomal RNA is filed under the name uncultured bacterium. Its description in RNAcentral is "bacterial SSU rRNA". It matches the Rfam family "Bacterial small subunit ribosomal RNA", at positions 397 to 1305 of the family's 1533-position model. The record is from RNAcentral.
CCGCGUGCGGAUGACGGCCCUCGGGUUGUAAACCGCUUUCAGUGGGACGAACCAAGACGGUACCCACAGAAGAAGCCCCGGCCAACUACGUGCCAGCAGCCGCGGUAACACGUAGGGGGCAAGCGUUGUCCGGAUUUAUUGGGCGUAAAGAGCUCGUAGGUGGUUCAGUAAGUCGGGUGUGAAACCUCCAGGCUCAACCUGGAGACGCCACCCGAUACUGCUGUGACUAGAGUCCAGUAGGGGAGCAUGGAAUUCCUGGUGUAGCGGUGAAAUGCGCAGAUAUCAGGAGGAACACCAGUGGCGAAGGCGGUGCUCUGGGCUGGAACUGACACUGAGGAGCGAAAGCGUGGGGAGCGAACAGGAUUAGAUACCCUGGUAGUCCACGCCGUAAACGUUGGGUACUAGGUGUGGGGUCUUAUCAACGGAUUCCGUGCCGCAGCUAACGCAUUAAGUGCUCUGCCUGGGGAGUACGGCCGCAAGGCUAAAACUCAAAAGAAUUGACGGGGGCCCGCACAAGCAGCGGAGCGUGUGGUUUAAUUCGAUGCAACGCGAAGAACCUCACCUAGUCUUGACAUGCAGGAAGUAGAACCCCGAAAGGGGAACCACUCGUAAAGUCGAGAACUUGCACAGGUGCUGCAUGGCUGUCGUCAGCUCGUGCCGUGAGGUGUUGGGUUAAGUCCCGCAACGAGCGCAACCCUCGGCGUUAGUUACCAUGUCUAACGCGACCGCCGGUUUCAAACCGGAGGAAGGUGGGGAUGACGUCAAGUCAGCACGGCCCUUACGCCUAGGGCUACACACACGCUACAAUGGCCGGUACAAUGGGACGCCAAGAGGUGAGCUCGGAGCAAAUCCUAUCAAAGCCGGUCUCAGUUGGGAUUGCAGGC